Molecule: long non-coding RNA, 733 nt
Organism: Myxocyprinus asiaticus (Chinese sucker)
Lineage: Eukaryota; Metazoa; Chordata; Actinopteri; Cypriniformes; Catostomidae
Exons: 4
Source: RefSeq, a predicted model, not a curated record
UUCUCAGGUUCAGAGAGCAGUGAGGACAUUGAGUGUGUCAUUAAACCAGUCACUGCAAAUAAGGUCAGCAGGAUAAGAGUCAAAUUCUUCCAAAUAUUCAACCACAUAGGCAAGACAAAAGCUUGGAGUCACAAUUCACUUUCAUUAUAUGACGAAAAGCUGUGUGAAGAUUUUUCUUACCUGUCCUUUGUGUUCCCUGAAAGAAAGUCAUACAAGUUUGGAACGAACAACAUUAGGGCAACAUCAAAAAUACAUUCAACGUUGAAGUGAUGCUCAUCAAGAAAGCCAUCUCCCAUGUGAAUGAAUGCAAGCUGUUCAAAAGACACCAGAAUGAAUGUGUCAGAAUUGAGCUUUUUAAAAUUUGUUCAACAUUGUAUUUACUGUUAUGCAAUAUAGUGCAUUUCUUUAUGCAUGCUCUUUAUAGUUCUCUUUUUGUUAAAAGCCUGUAAUGAAUAAAGUAGUAAAACUUAUAGUAAGUAAUAAAAGUUAAAAAGUAAUGAAAAUUGAAAGGAUAAAGUUAUGACAAUAAAGAAACAAUUAGAACAAUACACAUUUUUUGAUUUGUCAUUUACACUUCAAGAAUCCAUUAUCAGUCCCUUAGUAAUCUGCCUCCAUUUUUAAGUUUGUCUUAAGUUUGUAUUCAUUGACUUCACUUACUCCAACUGCAAGACACUGCAGGUUUUGUGAUCUCAAAAUGGCAGCCACCACGAGUGGGUUAUCUGUUCAAUGUACA